AAGAGGAAGAGGGAGAGGAAGAAAAAGUGGGGUAAAAUUGUCAAUUCACCUUAUUACGUAAUCAUGGUUAAGUAUUUUAACCGUGGUUAAUUAAAUUUUUUUAACGGAUGCUAACGGUAGGGACAUAUCUAAAUAUAUUAGGAUUUUUUUAGGAAUAACUUAUGAAAGUUGAAGUUUGCAGGAAUAUAUCUGUAAUUCACUAUAUUUGCGGAGACAUGUAUGAAAUUAACCCGAAUCAAUAUAUUAGAUUUUUU
This 254-nucleotide long non-coding RNA is filed under the name Ananas comosus (pineapple). RNAcentral describes it as "long non-coding RNA (ACOM_LNC005646)". Lineage: Eukaryota; Viridiplantae; Streptophyta; Magnoliopsida; Poales; Bromeliaceae. The record is from RNAcentral.